GGGAAAGUGGGCUGAGGAGUGAGGAAAAUGGGAGUGUGGAUCACUUCUGUUGACAAAUUCAAUACGCUGGUCGUGGUGGGCCUGUGACGAUUGUGACACCCAGGGUGUGACGGUCGUGACAGGGUUUGUGACGGUCGUCACAUGCACAGGAUUUGUAUUUUCUGCUUUUCUGUUGGUUUCUCUUCUGUUUCUACUUCUUUUCCUUCCUUUUCUAUACUUUGC
RNAcentral lists this long non-coding RNA (222 nucleotides) under Lathyrus oleraceus (garden pea). Its description in RNAcentral is "Pisum sativum (pea) long non-coding RNA (PSAT_LNC032159)". The record is from RNAcentral. Lineage: Eukaryota; Viridiplantae; Streptophyta; Magnoliopsida; Fabales; Fabaceae.